Molecule: long non-coding RNA, 821 nt
Filed under: Pan troglodytes (chimpanzee)
Lineage: Eukaryota; Metazoa; Chordata; Mammalia; Primates; Hominidae
Description: long non-coding RNA NONPTRT008767
Source: RNAcentral
GGAGUGGAGUGGUAUGAUCAUGGGUCUCUGCAGCCUUGACCUCUCAGGCUCAAGCAGUCUGCCCACCUCAGCUUCCUUAGUAGCUAUAUAUAUAUAGCGGUGACCAAAUAUCCUAAAAGACAUUGCACUUCAUCAUUCCAUGCCUUCAGACAUUUAAGGGCCAUGGAUGGUGAUCUCCUCCAGAGACAAAAUAAAUGCUGGUGCACAACAGGUGGCCACAGAGUGCAUCUGCUCUGGGGGACCCAUCGCUCAUAUACCCUCCCAGAAGAGCAGGAAAGGGGAUUCGUAAAUACGUUCUUCUGAUGGGGAAUGCUCUAUGAGGCCGCCUUCACAUGGUGAGUAGUGACCGUGACACCUCUGCAGCGUCCCUGGUCACUUGUAGCCCCUGAAAGGGUCAGCAGGAGCAGAUCACUUCUUUUCUUCAGGGCUGGAGAAAGUACCUCCGUGCAUUUUCCAGCCUCAGGGCCCGCCUGGCAGGACUACUGAGCAAGGCCUUGGAAAAUCGGAGCGAUUAGAGCGGUGAGUCGCGCUGGUCACACUGCACACCUGCGGGUUGGGAGAUUCUGGAGCCAGAAGGAGAGCCAAAUGGCCUUCGCCCACCCUGCCCCUCGUCCGCUUCAGAAAUCCCCGGAAACGCCCCGGUCCGCGAUCCGGGCCGAGCAGCCAGGGGGCCCAAGGGAAGCUGAACGCCGGGUGAGCUACCCGGAUGGCUCUUCCGGUUCUUUGUGCGGCCUUCACCCAGUGAGGGAGCCUGUGCCCCCCUGCCCAGUCGCUUUCGGGGCGCUGAGGAGCUUCCGCUGCCAUCUUCGGAUGCCGUGUCC